RNAcentral lists this unclassified non-coding RNA (70 nucleotides) under Caenorhabditis briggsae. RNAcentral's name for it is "comCb3 C/D snoRNA". Lineage: Eukaryota; Metazoa; Nematoda; Chromadorea; Rhabditida; Rhabditidae. The record is from RNAcentral.
UUUAGGCUAAAAAGCCAGCCUAAUCUAGUCGAUAGAGCACCCGUCUCUAUCGCAAUGACCAGGCUUAGGG